GACGAACGCUGGCGGCGUGCUUAACACAUGCAAGUCGUACGGUAAGGCCCUUUCGGGGGUACACGAGUGGCGAACGGGUGAGUAACACGUGAGUAACCUGCCCACAACUUUGGGAUAACGCUAGGAAACUGGUGCUAAUACUGGAUAUGUGCUCCUGCUGCAUGGUGGGGGUUGGAAAGCUCCGGCGGUUGUGGAUGGACUCGCGGCCUAUCAGGUUGUUGGUGGGGUAGUGGCCUACCAAGGCGGCGACGGGUAGCCGGCCUGAGAGGGUGACCGGCCACAUUGGGACUGGGAUACGGCCCAGACUCCUACGGGAGGCAGCAGGGGGGAAUAUUGCACAAUGGGCGCGAGCCUGAUGCAGCAACGCCGCGGGCGGGAUGACGGCCUUCGGGUUGUAAACCGCUUUCAGCAGGGACGAAGCUUUUUGUGACGGUACCUGCAGAAGAAGCACCGGCUAACUACGUG
This 465-nucleotide ribosomal RNA is filed under the name uncultured bacterium. Its description in RNAcentral is "partial 16S ribosomal RNA". It matches the Rfam family "Bacterial small subunit ribosomal RNA", at positions 28 to 507 of the family's 1533-position model. The record is from RNAcentral.